GGUGAAGCGGGGGAAGCAGCCGCGGUAAGGGAGAGGGGGCAAGCGUUGUUCGGAAUUACUGGGCGUGAAGGGCGAGUAGGGGGCCUUCUAAGGCAGACGGGAAAGCCCCCGGCGUAACCGGGGAACUGCGUCUGAUACUGGGAGGCUUGAGUAUGGGAGAGGGAUGCAGAAUGCCAGGUGUAGCGGUGAAAUGCGUAGAUAUCUGGAGGAAUACCGGUGGCGAAGGCGGCAUCCUGGACCAUAACUGACACUGAAUCGCGAAAGCUAGGGGAGCAAACGGGAUUAGAUACCCGUGUAGUC
Molecule: ribosomal RNA, 300 nt
Filed under: uncultured Pyrobaculum sp.
Lineage: Archaea; Thermoproteati; Thermoproteota; Thermoprotei; Thermoproteales; Thermoproteaceae
Description: bacterial SSU rRNA
Rfam family: Bacterial small subunit ribosomal RNA
Source: RNAcentral